UACAGAGGUUGCAAGCGUUGUUCGGAAUCACUGGGCGUAAAGCGCACGUAGGUGGUCUGCUAAGUCGUGUGUGAAAUGCCCCGGCUCAACCGGGGAAUGGCGCACGAUACUGGCAGGCUCGAGGUCGGGAGGGGUGAGUGGAACUGCGAGUGUAGAGGUGAAAUUCGUAGAUAUUCGCAAGAACACCAGUGGCGAAGGCGGCUCACUGGCCCGAUACUGACGCUGAGGUGCGAAAGCGUGGGGAGCAAACAGG
This 253-nucleotide ribosomal RNA is filed under the name uncultured bacterium. RNAcentral's name for it is "partial 16S ribosomal RNA". It matches the Rfam family "Bacterial small subunit ribosomal RNA", at positions 524 to 776 of the family's 1533-position model. The record is from RNAcentral.